Molecule: long non-coding RNA, 2230 nt
Filed under: Olea europaea subsp. europaea
Lineage: Eukaryota; Viridiplantae; Streptophyta; Magnoliopsida; Lamiales; Oleaceae
Source: RNAcentral
GUAACCAACAAAUUGAGCAUCCGUCCGAUAACAUGGUAGACUGCAAUGUGAAAAGUGGUAACUUAGUACAUUAGUUAUUUGGAAUGCAAUAUUUUUCAAUCUGUAUGAAAUUUUAGUUAAUUAAAUAUUUGAAUCUGAGAUAUUUAAUUGCUCAAAUACAGGAAUGGAGGUUUACUCAUCCGAGUGCGUUAGUGAUGAUUGUUUCGCUGAUGAUAGGUUGGGAGUAGAAACUGAGAUUUUCGUUCCGAAGGUUGGUAUGAAAUUUGACAGUGAGAAGGAGUUAUUUGAAUUCUACAAGAAGCAUGCUUGCGAAAUAGGGUUCCCUGUUAGAAAAAGAAACUCUAAGAAGGGUGAUGAUUGGGUUGUUCGAUACGUGAGCUUUACUUGUAGUUGAGAAGGUCGACGGAAGACUAAUAGAAGUACUUCUUUAAAUCCUCCGCCAACGAUUGAAAUAGGGUACAGAGCUAGGUUGACAACGUGUUCUGAUGCUCGUGGAAUAUGGCAAAUAAACGUUGUGCAGUUAGAACAUAACCAUAAGAUAAGCCCAUCUAAAUCUAGGUUACAUCGAUGCAUUCGAGAACUUAGUGCACACGUUAAAAAACGGCUUGAGGUCAAUGACAUAGCAGGGAUCCCAUUGCAUAAAAGCUAUAACUCAACUGUAGUGGAGGCGGGUGGAUUCCAGAACAUGACUUGUGUUGAGAAAGACUGUAGGAAUUUCAUUGAUAAAGUACGGCAUUUAAGACUUGGUGAAGGAGAUGCUGCUGCAUUACAGAGUUACUUCUUGAAAAUGCAAGCAUGCAGUCAUGGUUUUUAUUUCAGUAUAGACUUGGAUGAGGAGUCUAGGUUAAGGAAUGUGUUUUGGGUGGAUAAUAGAUGCAGGUAAGCAUAUAAAGAAUUUGAUGAUGUAGUUACUUUUGACACCACUUAUCUGACUAACAAGUACGAUAUGCCGUUCGCUCCUUUCGUAGGGAUGAAUCACCAUGGGCAAUCAACUUUAUUUGGUUGUGGAUUAGUUUCGAAUGAAGAUACAAAUACAUUUGUUUGGUUAUUUAAGACAUGGCUUGAGUGCAUGUGGGGUCAAGUUCCUGGUGGUAUAAUUACAAAUCAAGAUCGUGCUAUGCAAAAUGCAAUUGCAAUUGUAUUCCCCAAUACUAAGCAUAGAUGGUGUUUAUGGCAUAUUCUAAAGAAAUUGCCAAAGAAGUUCGACGGUCAUCCCGAAAAGGGUGCAAUACUGUAUGUCAUUCACGGUUUAGUGUACGAUACAUUAGUUUGUGAGGAGUUUGAAGAAGGUUGGUCGAACAUGCUUGCACAUUUUCAUUUGCAAGAUAAUGAUUGGUUGAACGGACUUUAUGAGAACCGAAGUCGUUGGGUACCAUGCUAUUUGAGAACUACAUUCUGGGCGGGUAUGUCAACCACCCAACGAAGUGAGAGUAUGAACGCAUUCUCCGAUGGCUAUGUGCGCUCAAAGACAUCUUUAAAGCUAUUUGUGGAGCAAUACGAAUGGGCUCUGAGAAGUAAAGUUGAAAAAGAAUUUCAAGCUGAUUUUAGAUCAUUCUCACAAAUGAUUCCUUGUGCUACUAAGUAUGAGAUGGAAAAGCAAUUUCAAGAAGUUUAUACAAUCUCGAAAUUCAAGGAGUUUCAAAAAGAAUUCACCGAAAAGGUUUACUGUGAAGUACUAUCCGUGAAAGAGUUAUGCUGGAUAGCGAAGUACGAGGUUCGUGAAGAUAUCAUCCUUGAGGAAGGGAGGAAGACAAAAAUAUUUACAGUUUCUUUUUGUAAAAACAAUUGCGGGAUUGUGUGUAACUGUCAUUUGUUUGAGUUUCGAGGCAUUGUUUGCAAACACGCGGUCUCAGUUUUAAUUCGGAAUGAGGUGUCGGUACUUCCGGAAAAGUACAUUUUAUGAAGAAGGAGGAGAGACAUGAGUAGACCUUACACGAGGGUGGUAACAACGUAUGAUGGUUUGGUGAGUACUCAUGAGCAGUUGUGUGCUGCUCUAACUAAGAUAGCUGACUUGGUUGCAAUUGAUGAAGACCGUUCGAAGCAGUUAAUGGAGUGGGUUGAAUUGCAGACGAAUGAAUUGUUAAAAUCGAAACAUAAUCACUUGGCCGCACAUGGACUUGGAGGAGGAAAUGUAGAAAGCUUCAACAUUUUCGAUCCGAAGUGUGCAAAACGUAAAGGCGCUCCAAAGAAACUUCGUAUGAAAAGUUUGUUGGAGUCGUAAUAAGGUAUG